This 468-nucleotide ribosomal RNA is filed under the name uncultured bacterium. RNAcentral's name for it is "partial 16S ribosomal RNA". It matches the Rfam family "Bacterial small subunit ribosomal RNA", at positions 28 to 507 of the family's 1533-position model. The record is from RNAcentral.
GACGAACGCUGGCGGCGUGCUUAACACAUGCAAGUCGAACGGAAAGGCCCUGCUUUUGUGGGGUGCUCGAGUGGCGAACGGGUGAGUAACACGUGAGUAACCUGCCCUUGACUUUGGGGUAACUUCAGGAAACUGGGGCUAAUACCGGAUAGGAGCUCCUGCUGCAUGGUGGGGGUUGGAAAGUUUCGGCGGUUGGGGAUGGACUCGCGGCUUAUCAGCUUGUUGGUGGGGGAGUGGCUUACCAAGGAUUUGACGGGUAGCCGGCCUGAGAGGGUGACCGGCCACAUUGGUACUGAGGUACGGCCCAGACGCCUACGGGAGGCAGCAGUGGGGAAUAUUGCACAAUGGGCGGAAGCCUGAUGCAGCAACGCCGCGGUCGGGAUGACGGCCUUCGGGUUGUAAACCGCUUUCGCCUGUGACGAAGCGUGAGUGACGGUAAUGGGUAAAGAAGCACCGGCUAACUACGUG